Molecule: non-coding RNA, 156 nt
Organism: Paramuricea clavata
Lineage: Eukaryota; Metazoa; Cnidaria; Anthozoa; Malacalcyonacea; Plexauridae
Source: the annotation of a GenBank genome assembly
CCCACAAGUCGAUCUAUUGCAACCCAAUGUUUAACGACUUUAACAUUUUUAGAAAGAUAUUGAAUUAUUUGAAGAUAAAAGACAUGACAUAAGAUUCACAAAUGUGUGUGUGUGUGUGUGUGUGUGUGGGGGUAUUUUACUGGGGGCACCAUGGGG